CGAAAUGCGAUAAGUAAUGUGAAUUGCAGAAUUCAGUGAAUCAUCGAAUCUUUGAACGCACCUUGCGCUCCUUGGUAUUCCUUGGAGCAUGCCUGUUUGAGUAUCAUGAAAUCUUCAAAGUAAAUCUUUUGUUAACUCAAUUGGUUUCUACUUUGGUAUUGGAGGUCUUUGCAGCUUCACACCUGCUCCUCUUUGUUCAUUAGCUGGAUCUCAGUGUUAUGCUUGGUUCCACUCGGCGUGAUAAGUUAUCUAUCGCUGAGGACACUGUAAAAGGUGGCCAAGGUAAAUGCAGAUGAACCGCUUCUAAUAGUCCAUUGACUUGGGCAAUACUUUUAUGAUCUGAUCUCAAAUCAGGUAGGACUACCCGCUGAACUUAAGC
Molecule: unclassified non-coding RNA, 379 nt
Filed under: plant metagenome
Description: partial contains 5.8S ribosomal RNA, internal transcribed spacer 2, and large subunit ribosomal RNA
Rfam family: 5.8S ribosomal RNA (bases 1-106)
Source: RNAcentral